CACAUUUAGUGGGAAAGAGAGCUAUGGGAAUUAAAUUUGGCACAUACUUUGCACUUAAAUACUGAAUGAAUGAAUGAUUGAAUGAAUGAAUACAAAGCAGACCAUGAUAAGAACUAGGAGAAAGAAUGAAGAGGUGGAGUGUGUUACUCUUGGGGCUGGAAUGAGCAUGGCAUGUGCGGAGAUGGCACUGAAGCCAACGUCUGGGCCCCGAAGCCGGUGCAGGCUCUGCUGUCAUUGUCAGGACUCCUUGUGGGCUGUGGGGCUGGCCACUCCUUGGCCCUCUGCCAGCUGCCAGCUCACCCUGCAUUGGUCCAGGACCCCAAGGUCACCUACCUUUCCCCAGAUGCCACCAAGGACACUGAAUCUCAGGAAGCCAUGGACAAAGAGAGAAACUGGAAGGAAAGACAAUCAGAAACUUCAACCCAAAGCCAAUCUGACUGGUCCAGAAAUGGGGGACUGUGAUAGAGAAUCUUUAAUAAAGUGGCUUUUCUCACC
Molecule: small RNA, 495 nt
Filed under: Pongo abelii (Sumatran orangutan)
Lineage: Eukaryota; Metazoa; Chordata; Mammalia; Primates; Hominidae
Description: processed transcript
Source: RNAcentral